AGCGCAGGAGAGGCGGCCGCCGCCGCGCAGGCAGCCCCCGGACCGCGGCUUUGUAUUCAUUAAACACACAUCGGAGCUUAUCAGAAGUCAGAGGCUUGUCGGGAUGGCACAUUGUGUGUGCCAAUUUUUGAGACUGCUUUGCUAUGAAGGGCUAUGCUGCCUGCAUAAAACCUCAGUGAAGAAGGGCUUGCAUUCAGCGCCUGUCAGCUGAUGUUCAUAUCAAAGAAGUGAGAAACACGAUUUGACAGUGAAGAAUGUCCUAACCUGACAACCACUGACCAGCAUUCCUAUUGGAAGCAUUUCUUUCUCGUGAUCCCUUUUCAAUGUUGGGAAAAAAAGAAAAGUUUUUUUUUUUUUUUUACAAUAAAAUAAGCUUCUAUUUUUAUAAUAAAAUAAAUGAUAAUGGCACCUUACAUUUGUGUACUUCUUUACUAUUUAUGAAGUGUUCUUUCAUCUGCAAAUAUUUAUACUAACACCCUGGAUGGAAGAAUUCAUUAAAAUCUAGCAUCAAGAACAAUAUUUUACUUUUCUUUAGAAAGGGAAAAUUGUAAAAAUAUAAAGCUGUAAUCUUGUAGCUGCAGUAUGUACUGUCCUACCUUUUCCAGCAGCUUGCAACUUGAUAGGGCUGUUUGCCUUGUACUACAAGAAUGUAUCUUAUUAGGAAAGCCCUUUUAAGGAUCAUAUUUAAAUCAAAUUAUUAGCAGAUAUUAGUGAGUCACAGAGACUAAAGCUAUAAAGGAAAAUAGCGUUUCAAAGAGUUCUGGUCUGCUUUGAGCUGUCCAAACAUUAAAGAAAAAAAUACACCAUUUUUUUCCACUUCUUUUAUUAGAUAUGAACUGGACACUGGAGAAACUCCAUACUCAAACUCUCCCACUCAGUAUUUAGCUUUUCAAAUAAAGUGACUGCUGUCUAAAUGGUUUACAAAAAUUAUGAAUGCUUACACAAAGUCUUCUAACAUAAAGUUCUUCUCUUAGUAUGAUCGUAGAUAAAGUCAGCUUUUAUACACCCAGAAUGAGCCUGAUUCCUUGAUUAUUUAGUGGAAAUUCUUUCUUUUGAAAGAAUAAGCCAAAGAAAUGCUAAAUACAGUACAGAUAAAGCAAUGUUAGACUUCAACUUCCUCAAUAUCCUUCCUGGCUGCAAAAGAUGCCUAGGUCAAACACUGGGUGAGGCUGUCAGCUGUCCCUUUAAAAAUAAGCACCCAUAAAAAGAAAGAAAAGAGAAAAAAAAUCAGACUGUCCCAUGCAUGCUACCUGAAAGCCCCUACAAUGUUAAAACUAGAACUGACAUGAAGAAUAAACAAUGGGGAAAGAUCCAGAGAAUUAGGAAUUUGCUUCUCUUUGUACACAUCACAUCUGACAUAAGCAUCUGGGUUUGGGCCAGGAUGGUUUAACAAACAAUUCUGUUUGUUCACCUUUUCUAAGGAACUGUAUGACAGGAGUGACUGGCCACAACAGACUGCUCACAUGGUCAAAGCAAAAGACUGCAAAAAACUAAAGAAGGCCCGGGACACUACCGGUUUAUCACUGAAAAGCUGAUCAAUUUGUAUUCUAGCGAGUGUGGACUCACUGGGCACAGACCCAGUUUCACUCCCGUUCUAUGCAAAGGGAGGGUUAUGACAAUAAAAGCCAGUGAGUGCACUUAAAAAUGGUACACAUGUUUAAAAGGGGCGGGGGGGGGGGGUCUGUAAAACAGAUUUCAGUUCACACAGAAGGUAGAAA
This is a long non-coding RNA of Dama dama (fallow deer), 1718 nucleotides long. RefSeq lists it as uncharacterized. NCBI's taxonomy places the organism in Eukaryota, Metazoa, Chordata, Mammalia, Artiodactyla, Cervidae. The record is from RefSeq and is a predicted model, not a curated record. The transcript is spliced from 2 exons.